UCUGUUUCGUCGUCGUCUUCAAGCAUUGAGUGUCUCUCCCUUGACUCUUCCACUUCAUCUUCUCCAAUGUCUGGUUUUUUUUUUUCCAUUACCUUCUCAAUCAAUGAUGAUGUUAAAGCUAUUCUUCAACGUUUUGUUCCACCUACCUUUGAUACUUCUCCUAUAUAAAGCUCUAUCUCUAACCUAAAUCCAUCCUGAAUCAAAAACCCUACUCUGCAGAAACUAAAUUGCAAUGAAAUCCACAACAAAGUCUCAGCUUACCACCGGCAUAUCUCCCGUCGCCAUCUAUUUCAACGACAUCUCACCAAGACCAGAUGAGUCACAGCUUCGGUUUCAGGUAAUACAUCCUGUUUGCAGGCUUCUUCGUUUAAAUGUGGCCCUUUUCUUAUAUCUUCGUUUAAAACUGUUGCUAUUUCGCUUCUCAUGGAUUUGAAUCUAAGAAAGUUUAGAUUCUCUAUUGGUCUCUUACUCUGCUUAUAAAUUGGUUUCAGAAUAAAGUCGGCCAGGUAUGUGAUACUUAGCCACCUUGAGCACGUACACAUAUGUGUCUCACAAUGGAGAGAAAGUUUCUGUGAAACUCCACUUAUAGAGCAGCGAAUGUAUAUAACUAGAAAGCUGAAGGUCCUACGAAAACAUGGAUACGACAUGGUAUAGUUACUGCUCUGUUUUGAGAGAGUGGAAGCUGUAAAUCAUCAGUAACUGUGGCAGAGGUUUAACGAUCCCAAUCAUGACAGACACUCUUCACGGAGUUGAUAUUAAGGCCAUCAGUUGAAAAGGGUAAGGCAGCAAAGCAGGCUGGUGAGCCAAAAAUCGGUUUUGUACAGUGUAAAUAAACAAAGCAAACAUUGCUAACGAAAAAGGAGGAGAAGCCACUGAAACCAGUAUCAUUUAUGUAACUGAGCUAUCUAACGCUCAUGGCUUCAUUAGUUGACUGCAACAGGCCUAUGAUACAAUGGUGGGUGAAAGAGGACUUCAGUUAUCAGGCAGCAAAUACUAGAGAGUGGUAGCCAUAACAAUUUUUAAAGAUCCUAUGGUGUGGGCCGUGUGGUUUAGGGAUGAAGCAACAAUUACUGUUGAUACUUAGUCAGAGUCUGUGGUUCAUGAGUCAUGACGCAUUGGACCUGAUUAUGGUUAAUUGCAGAGGUUAGAAAGAAAACCAAGCCAGUGAUCCCAAUAUAUGAGGGUCUCUAUGUUUCUUUAGUACAACUUCAUCUGACUGCUUCUGCAAAAACAUUUUAAAGGAUUACCUACCAUUUGAGCAAAUAUGGAAUUGACAGCAAACAUAUUUUUCAUUAUGAAUGAUUACAGAGCUUCGAGAAUGACAUUGACUUUCACAGAAUGUUAAAAAGAUUGAUCUAACAAAGCCAGUACAAUCCUAACGAACCCUGCAAUGGCAGAACGCUGCAUCCAUUACUUCUUACAAGUAUGAAAGGGAUCACGGCAAUUCCUAGGCUAUUUGGUGAAAAGGUUCGCGGGAAUACAAAGAAUGAGGAAGAAAAAAGGAUGCAGUACUGAGGAUUCCUUUCUCUGAUCACCAUGUGCGUGAGCUGCUGUAUGUCUCCGUGAUUGAUAGAGACUCUUCAAAAGAAUUCCAUAUCGGAAAAGCCUGCCAAUACUUUCCUAACUUGAAUAGAACUUCGUUGCUUAAUUUGUUCAUAAUUAUCUUUUGGAUAUUACAUGGGCGAGGUGCAUAUAGC
Molecule: long non-coding RNA, 1697 nt
Organism: Brassica oleracea var. oleracea
Lineage: Eukaryota; Viridiplantae; Streptophyta; Magnoliopsida; Brassicales; Brassicaceae
Exons: 4
Source: RefSeq, a predicted model, not a curated record